Molecule: small RNA, 701 nt
Filed under: Oryza sativa Japonica Group (Japanese rice)
Lineage: Eukaryota; Viridiplantae; Streptophyta; Magnoliopsida; Poales; Poaceae
Description: sRNA Os02g0718050
Source: RNAcentral
AGCAUUCCAUGUAGUACAUCAUCUUUAGUUUAGGUAUCCUCCUUGGGCUGAGAUCAAGCCUAUGCCACCAUUAUCAUUUUCCUCUUGCACAAGGGUGGGAAAAUCCUUAUGUUAUUGGUUAUAAUGUUCUUGACCUUGCAAGGCCAAGGUACCAGCUACAUGCUGGGGGAUGGGUGACCUUGGCACCUGCCUAUGAUGAAGUGUGGCUCUUUGCUUUAGUUGUCUGCUCUUCUGUAAUCUGUACUCUGCAUUAUUUCAAGAUGAAUUGUAUCCUCUAGAUUAAUCUUCUGUUUCCUUGAUGAGUUGCGAGUUUGCGACAUUCCUGUCAAGCUGAUACAUUUGUCAUGGUUAACGAGAAAGAACAUAUAUGGUGUAUUUGUUUCUGAAUCCUGCGCAUGGCAGCAUGCUUCUUUGUCUAUUGUUAUCAUUGAUAUGACUUAUGAAUCAAUUGUGGUGGUCAUUCUGAAUCACAUGCUCUACACUCUCACUAAGUAACAUGACUCGAAAGCAAGUUUUUUUUUUGGCCACUAAGGGAUACAGCAUCGCAGAGACUUUGUCGGAACCUUUUUUUUUUCCGAUUAGUUUCAUUCUUUCUGGUGCGUGCAAAUAAGCCAAUGGCAAAGUGGACUGAUGGUCUGAUGUCAAUGUUGUAGUGAGAUGUUUCUCCUUGUCUUUGGCAACAGAGUAUCCUGUGUUUUAUU